RNAcentral lists this ribosomal RNA (539 nucleotides) under uncultured bacterium. RNAcentral's name for it is "partial 16S ribosomal RNA". It matches the Rfam family "Bacterial small subunit ribosomal RNA", at positions 355 to 886 of the family's 1533-position model. The record is from RNAcentral.
UAGGGAAUCUUCGGCAAUGGACGAAAGUCUGACCGAGCAACGCCGCGUGAGUGAAGAAGGUUUUCGGAUCGUAAAACUCUGUUGGUAGAGAAGAACGUUGGUGAGAGUGGAAAGCUCAUCAAGUGACGGUAACUACCCAGAAAGGGACGGCUAACUACGUGCCAGCAGCCGCGGUAAUACGUAGGUCCCGAGCGUUGUCCGGAUUUAUUGGGCGUAAAGCGAGCGCAGGUGGUUUAUUAAGUCUGGUGUAAAAGGCAGUGGCUCAACCAUUGUAUGCAUUGGAAACUGGUAGACUUGAGUGCAGGAGAGGAGAGUGGAAUUCCAUGUGUAGCGGUGAAAUGCGUAGAUAUAUGGAGGAACACCGGUGGCGAAAGCGGCUCUCUGGCCUGUAACUGACACUGAGGCUCGAAAGCGUGGGGAGCAAACAGGAUUAGAUACCCUGGUAGUCUACGCCGUAAACGAUGAGUGCUAGAUGUAGGGAGCUAUAAGUUCUCUGUAUCGCAGCUAACGCAAUAAGCACUCCGCCUGGGGAGUACGAC